Molecule: long non-coding RNA, 250 nt
Filed under: Homo sapiens (human)
Lineage: Eukaryota; Metazoa; Chordata; Mammalia; Primates; Hominidae
Description: HSALNT0304064
Source: RNAcentral
CCUCAUCAUUUCUUAUUUCAUCUCAUUUUAUCUCAUUUCAUCUCAUAUCUCAAUUCAAUUUCCUUUCAUUAUUUCAUCUCAUUCAUUUCAUCUCCUUUCAUUACAUCUCAUCAUUUCCUCUCAUCAUUACACCUCAUCUCAUCUCAUCAUUUCAUCAUUUCAUUACAUCUCAUCAUUUCCUCUCAUCAUUACAUCUCAUCUCAUCUCAUCAUUUCAUCAUUUCAUCUCAUCAUUGCAUCUCAUCAUUUCA